Molecule: non-coding RNA, 997 nt
Filed under: Inocellia (Epinocellia) sp.
Lineage: Eukaryota; Metazoa; Arthropoda; Insecta; Raphidioptera; Inocelliidae
Source: RNAcentral
AUAAUGUUUGGAAAUAUUUGAUUUAUUUUAUGAUUUAUAAUGAUAAAAUUUAAUUUUAGUUUAAAAUUUAUUUAAUUUUUAAUUUAUAUGUAAAUUUUUGUCUUAAAAAGUUAAUAUUUAAAAUAAUAAUUUUACAGUAAUUAAAUUUAAAAAUUAAUGAAAAUUAGAUUUAGUAAUUAAUUAUAAAAUAAAAUAAAUUUGUGCCAGCAUUUGCGGUUAUACAAAUUAUUUAAAUAAAUUUUAUUAAUAUAUAAUUUAAUUGUUUAUUUUAUUAAAUGAAAAAUUUAUGAUAAAAGUGAAAUUUAUUAUUUUUAUUAAUUUAAUUAAAUAGUAAUUGAUUUUUGAAAUUUAAUUAAUAAACUAGGAUUAGAUACCCUAUUAUUUUAAAUGUAAAAUUUAUAUUAAGGGAUUAAUAGUUAUGUUCUUUAAAUUUAAAAAAUUUGGCGGUAUUUUAGUCUAUUUAGAGGAAUCUGUUCUGUAAUUGAUAGUUCACGAUAAAUUUUACUUAAUUUAUUAAUUAAUAUAUCGUUGUUAACAAAAUAUUUUUUAAGAAUAUAAAUUUUUUAUAAAUUUAAUUAAAUUUUAUUUCAGAUCAAGAUGUUGUUUAUAAUUAUGAAGAAAUGGAUUACAAUAAGAAUACUUAUUAUAUGAAUAAUUUAUAUAAAAAUAAAUUUGAAGGUGGAUUUAAUAGUAAUUUUUAAUAUAUUUUAAAAAUGAUUUUAGCACUAAAAUAUGCACAUAUCGCCCGUCGCUCUUAUUUAUUAAAUAAGAUAAGUCGUAACAAAGUAGAUGUACUGGAAAGUGUAUCUAGAAUGCAAAUUAAAGCUUUUAUAGUUUUUCAUUUACAUUGAAAAGAAUCUUUUAAUUUAGAUAAUUUGAAAUAAAAAUUUUAUUUUUAAUUAAAUUUAAAAUUUAUUUUUUAAUUAAAAUAUUAUUAAUUUAUUUUUAUUUAAGUAUAUUUAAGAAAAAAUUUUAUAUAAUGAUAGUUUAUUAGUAA